AACACUUUAGUAUAAAUAAGUACUUUUAAUUUCCAAUUAAAAAGAUAAAUAGUGUUA
RNAcentral lists this transfer RNA (57 nucleotides) under Gordionus wolterstorffii. Its description in RNAcentral is "tRNA-Gly". Lineage: Eukaryota; Metazoa; Nematomorpha; Gordioida; Chordodea; Parachordodidae. The record is from RNAcentral.